GACGAACGCUGGCGGCGUGCUUAACACAUGCAAGUCGAACGGAAAGGCCCUGCUUUUGUGGGGUGCUCGAGUGGCGAACGGGUGAGUAACACGUGAGUAACCUGCCCUUGACUUUGGGAUAACUUCAGGAAACUGGGGCUAAUACCGGAUAGGAGCUCCUGCUGCAUGGUGGGGGUUGGAAAGUUUCGGCGGUUGGGGAUGUACUCGCGGCUUAUCAGCUUGUUGGUGGGGUAGUGGCUUACCAAGGCUUUGACGGGUAGCCGGCCUGAGAGGGUGACCGGCCACAUUGGGACUGAGAUACGGCCCAGAAUCCUACGGGAGGCAGCAGUGGGGAAUAUUGCACAAUGGGCGGAAGCCUGAUGCAGAAACGCCGCGUGCGGGAUGACGGCCUUCGGGUUGUAAACCGAUUUCGCAUGUGACGAAGCGUGAGUGACGGUAAUGGGUAAAGAAGCACCGGCUAACUACGUG
RNAcentral lists this ribosomal RNA (468 nucleotides) under uncultured bacterium. RNAcentral describes it as "partial 16S ribosomal RNA". It matches the Rfam family "Bacterial small subunit ribosomal RNA", at positions 28 to 507 of the family's 1533-position model. The record is from RNAcentral.